GACGAACGCUGGCGGCGUGCCUAAUACAUGCAAGUCGAACGCACAGUUUAUACCGUAGCUUGCUACACCAUAGACUGUGAGUUGCGAACGGGUGAGUAACGCGUAGGUAACCUGCCUGGUAGCGGGGGAUAACUAUUGGAAACGAUAGCUAAUACCGCAUAAUAUUAAUUAUUGCAUGAUAAUUAAUUGAAAGGUGCAAUUGCACCACUACCAGAUGGACCUGCGUUGUAUUAGCUAGUAGGUGAGGUAACGGCUCACCUAGGCGACGAUACAUAGCCGACCUGAGAGGGUGAUCGGCCACACUGGGACUGAGACACGGCCCAGACUCCUACGGGAGGCAGCAGUAGGGAAUCUUCGGCAAUGGACGAAAGUCUGACCGAGCAACGCCGCGGGAGUGAAGAAGGAUGUCGGAUCGUAAAGCUCUGUUGUAAGAGAAGAACGGGUGUGAGAGUGGAAAGUUCACACUGUGACGGUAUCUUACCAGAAAGGGACGGCUAACUACGUG
Molecule: ribosomal RNA, 505 nt
Filed under: uncultured bacterium
Lineage: Bacteria
Description: partial 16S ribosomal RNA
Rfam family: Bacterial small subunit ribosomal RNA
Source: RNAcentral